UAUCAAGAAAAUUGAAGGCCAUCACCAAGCACCUCACGGCCAAGAACAAAGGAAAACCCAAAUCAAAUUCAAGCCACUCCAAAAUUAUUUCCUUGAUACAAACCCACUAUAUUGAAGCCCCUAAGUAGCGUGGAAGUAUUGUUUGGGUCAUCCAACCAUCCAUUAUGUCAAUUAGCAAACCCUAACUAUUUGGUGGGUGGAAGAAGAAAGAUCGUGGGCAGCCCGAAUCAUAGUUUGGACUUAGCUUGAGUUGGAUCAUAUUGGAGAGCGUUUGAGGUACAGACGCACAGCCUGGUGAUCCACCUGUUUAGGACACCCUUUCUGCUAUUCGGAGUGCUCCUCUCUUUCCGGAGCUUAUACUUUUGGUAUAUAUAUUUAUUAGUGCAUUUGUAUAUAUUCGUUCAUGGGUACGGCGGGGCCCUGUCCCGUCAUAUGAUUCUGUCGGUCUGUUUAGAGGUCUGUGGACAUGUUUGUGGGUUAGGGUCUUUCUGUAUGGAUGUAUGUACAUGUCGUUUGGGCGAUCCCAUACGCCGAGGCGGCCGGUCCGCAUAUGUUGUUUGGGCGAUCCUAUACGCCGAGGCGGCCGGUCCGCAUAUGUUUAUAUAUUGCUUGGUUAGCCCUGUGUAGCUCUUGUUGGUAUUUUCUGCGUGCAGGGUAUAUUGGAUAGUCCGUAAAACAAAGGAAACUCUGCCGAAAUUUUCUGAAAAUUACCUAAAUUUGAAAUAAAGUCUUGUCGGCUUCCGCCAUAUACUAGAAUGAGUUGAUAGAAUUCGAGAUAAUAUUUGAUAGAUGGGUUCGGGUGCCCAGAUCGGGCACUAGUCACGGCCUACGGGGUUGGGUCGUGACAGAAGUGGUAUCAGAGCGGUUUGUCCUCGGAAUG
Molecule: long non-coding RNA, 880 nt
Organism: Lycium barbarum (goji berry)
Lineage: Eukaryota; Viridiplantae; Streptophyta; Magnoliopsida; Solanales; Solanaceae
Exons: 3
Source: RefSeq, a predicted model, not a curated record